AACCGUUAUAACCGGCGAUGUCCGAAUGGGGAAACCCAGUGCAAUUCGUUGCACUAUCGUUAACUGAAUACAUAGGUUAACGAGGCGAACCGGGGGAACUGAAACAUCUAAGUACCCCGAGGAAAAGAAAUCAACCGAGAUUCCCCCAGUAGCGGCGAGCGAACGGGGAGCAGCCCAGAGUCUGAAUCAGCUUGUGUGUUAGUGGAACGGUCUGGAAAGUCCGACGGUACAGGGUGAUAGUCCCGUACACCAAAAUGCACAGGCUGUGAACUCGAAGAGUAGGGCGGGACACGUGGUAUCCUGUCUGAAUAUGGGGGGACCAUCCUCCAAGGCUAAAUACUCCUGACUGACCGAUAGUGAACCAGUACCGUGAGGGAAAGGCGAAAAGAACCCCGGCGAGGGGAGUGAAAAAGAACCUGAAACCGUGUACGUACAAGCAGUGGGAGCACCUUCGGGUGUGACUGCGUACCUUUUGUAUAAUGGGUCAGCGACUUAUAUUCUGUAGCAAGGUUAACCGUAUAGGGGAGCCGCAGGGAAACCGAGUCUUAACUGGGCGUUAAGUUGCAGGGUAUAGACCCGAAACCCGGUGAUCUAGCCAUGGGCAGGUUGAAGGUUGGGUAACACUAACUGGAGGACCGAACCGACUAAUGUUGAAAAAUUAGCGGAUGACUUGUGGCUGGGGGUGAAAGGCCAAUCAAACCGGGAGAUAGCUGGUUCUCCCCGAAAGCUAUUUAGGUAGCGCCUCGUGAACUCAUCUUCGGGGGUAGAGCACUGUUUCGGCUAGGGGGUCAUCCCGACUUACCAACCCGAUGCAAACUACGAAUACCGAAGAAUGUUAUCACGGGAGACACACGGCGGGUGCUAACGUCCGUCGUGAAGAGGGAAACAACCCAGACCGCCAGCUAAGGUCCCAAAGUCAUGGUUAAGUGGGAAACGAUGUGGGAAGGCACAGACAGCCAGGAUGUUGGCUUAGAAGCAGCCAUCAUUUAAAGAAAGCGUAAUAGCUCACUGGUCGAGUCGGCCUGCGCGGAAGAUGUAACGGGGCUAAACCAUGCACCGAAGCUGCGGCAGCGACACUAUGUGUUGUUGGGUAGGGGAGCGUUCUGUAAGCCUGCGAAGGUGACCUGUGAGGGUUGCUGGAGGUAUCAGAAGUGCGAAUGCUGACAUAAGUAACGAUAAAGCGGGUGAAAAGCCCGCUCGCCGGAAGACCAAGGGUUCCUGUCCAACGUUAAUCGGGGCAGGGUGAGUCGACCCCUAAGGCGAGGCCGAAAGGCGUAGUCGAUGGGAAACAGGUUAAUAUUCCUGUACUUGGUGUUACUGCGAAGGGGGGACGGAGAAGGCUAUGUUAGCCGGGCGACGGUUGUCCCGGUUUAAGCAUGUAGGCUGAUUGUCCAGGCAAAUCCGGAUAAUCAAGGCUGAGGUGUGAUGACGAGGCACUACGGUGCUGAAGUAACAAAUGCCCUGCUUCCAGGAAAAGCCUCUAAGCAUCAGGUAACAUUAAAUCGUACCCCAAACCGACACAGGUGGUCAGGUAGAGAAUACCAAGGCGCUUGAGAGAACUCGGGUGAAGGAACUAGGCAAAAUGGUGCCGUAACUUCGGGAGAAGGCACGCUGGUGUGUAGGUGAAGCCCCUGCGGGUGGAGCUGAGACCAGUCGAAGAUACCAGCUGGCUGCAACUGUUUAUUAAAAACACAGCACUGUGCAAACACGAAAGUGGACGUAUACGGUGUGACGCCUGCCCGGUGCCGGAAGGUUAAUUGAUGGGGUUAUCCGUAAGGAGAAGCUCUUGAUCGAAGCCCCGGUAAACGGCGGCCGUAACUAUAACGGUCCUAAGGUAGCGAAAUUCCUUGUCGGGUAAGUUCCGACCUGCACGAAUGGCGUAAUGAUGGCCAGGCUGUCUCCACCCGAGACUCAGUGAAAUUGAACUCGCUGUGAAGAUGCAGUGUACCCGCGGCAAGACGGAAAGACCCCGUGAACCUUUACUAUAGCUUGACACUGAACAUUGAGCCUUGAUGUGUAGGAUAGGUGGGAGGCUUUGAAGCGUGGACGCCAGUCUGCGUGGAGCCAACCUUGAAAUACCACCCUUUAAUGUUUGAUGUUCUAACGUUGGCCCCUGACCGGGGUUGCGGACAGUGUCUGGUGGGUAGUUUGACUGGGGCGGUCUCCUCCCAAAGCGUAACGGAGGAGCACGAAGGUUAGCUAAUCCUGGUCGGACAUCAGGAGGUUAGUGCAAUGGCAUAAGCUAGCUUGACUGCGAGCGUGACGGCGCGAGCAGGUGCGAAAGCAGGUCAUAGUGAUCCGGUGGUUCUGAAUGGAAGGGCCAUCGCUCAACGGAUAAAAGGUACUCCGGGGAUAACAGGCUGAUACCGCCCAAGAGUUCAUAUCGACGGCGGUGUUUGGCACCUCGAUGUCGGCUCAUCACAUCCUGGGGCUGAAGUAGGUCCCAAGGGUAUGGCUGUUCGCCAUUUAAAGUGGUACGCGAGCUGGGUUUAGAACGUCGUGAGACAGUUCGGUCCCUAUCUGCCGUGGGCGCUGGAGAAUUGAGGGGGGCUGCUCCUAGUACGAGAGGACCGGAGUGGACGCAUCACUGGUGUUCGGGUUGUCAUGCCAAUGGCACUGCCCGGUAGCUAAAUGCGGAAGAGAUAAGUGCUGAAAGCAUCUAAGCACGAAACUUGCCCCGAGAUGAGUUCUCCCUGAGACUUUAAGUCUCCUGAAGGAACGUUGAAGACGACGACGUUGAUAGGCCGGGUGUGUAAGCGCAGCGAUGCGUUGAGCUAACCGGUACUAAUGAACCGUGAGGCUUAACCUUACAACGCCGAAG
RNAcentral lists this ribosomal RNA (2821 nucleotides) under Klebsiella pneumoniae. RNAcentral's name for it is "partial 23S ribosomal RNA". It matches the Rfam family "Bacterial large subunit ribosomal RNA". Lineage: Bacteria; Pseudomonadati; Pseudomonadota; Gammaproteobacteria; Enterobacterales; Enterobacteriaceae. The record is from RNAcentral.